Long non-coding RNA from Physeter macrocephalus (sperm whale), 910 nucleotides. RefSeq lists it as uncharacterized. The record is from RefSeq and is a predicted model, not a curated record. The transcript is spliced from 3 exons. NCBI's taxonomy places the organism in Eukaryota, Metazoa, Chordata, Mammalia, Artiodactyla, Physeteridae.
CCUAAACAAGACAGCAACAAUAGUCUCAAAAGUAGUAUGUCCAAGAAUGUUGGAAGGCUCAAUAUAUAUGCCUGUGACAGGCCUACAAGCUUUGUAGUUGUCCAGCAACGAGGUUGAAGAGAGACCCCAAAGAAAGAGCCCACAGGCAGCGACAGAGACAUCAACGGUUCACUGCAUACGGAAUCUUACAAGUCUGAAGCAAAAGUUCUGGAGUGACACCCCACUGUGUAUGGCAGGCAGCAGACAGGAUACAGCAACAGUCUUCACUACUUGGGUUCUGGAAGCCAGAUGUCCAAGACCAAGGCGUCAGCAAGUUUGAUUUCUUCUAAGGCCUCUGUCAUUGGCUUGCAGAUGGGACUUUUUGCUGUCUUCACAAGGCGUUUGCAUAUGGCCUUUGUACCUCUUCCCCUUCUUCUAAGGACACCAUUCAUAGUGUAGAGCCGCAACCAUAUGACCUCGUUUAACCUUAAUUACCUCUUUAAAGGUCCUAUCUCAGGGACUUCCCUGGUGGUCCAGUGGUUAUGAAUCUGCCUUCCAAUGCAGGGAACGUGGGUUCAAUCCCUGGUCGAGGAACUAAGAUCCCACAUGCCACGGAGCAACUAAGCCAGUGUGCCGCAACUAGAGAGAAGCCCACACGCCACAACGGAAGAUCCCUCAUGCCGCAACAAAGACCCCACAUGCUGCAACUAAGACCCGACGUAGCCAAAUAAAUAAAUAUGUUUUUAAAAAGUUAAAAGAAAAAGAGUAAUAAAUGAGAUGAUUCCUACAGUUGUCAUAGCUAUCUGCCUGGAGACAUUAUCCAAUCCACAGGAUAGGAAGUAUAACCCAAGCGGAGCAUGAUGGUCUUGCUGCAUUGAAGAGGCAGAGAUUGGUUUGAUGAGGAUGAAGCAGCUGGAAUUGGGAAUUCCCU